RNAcentral lists this long non-coding RNA (2337 nucleotides) under Homo sapiens (human). RNAcentral describes it as "HSALNT0022390". Lineage: Eukaryota; Metazoa; Chordata; Mammalia; Primates; Hominidae. The record is from RNAcentral.
GGAAACUUCACCUUGACCAAUUUGAGGACCACUGACUUGGAAAGUAUAUUCUCUUUCAGAGCAGGAGGGAUGAACAAGAUUUGACUCCUGCAGCCUCUAGAUGGCUGCCUUAGGAUCUGGGCAAGUGCAGCCUGCCUCAGCUCCCAUCUGUGUCUACUUUACAUUCCAGUAGAACAGGGCUGUUUGCUGUUGCCUGUUCUUUCUGAUUAACCUGUACUCAUCGUGUACAUCUUUGACCAGCACCAUCCACUCCAUUAAUCUUCCUGGAGAAUCUUCAAGAGAAGUAGAAUUUACUUUCCAUGACCCCUACCACUUUGAAGAAUAUUUAGUAGUUGUUUUUUCUGGCAUGUCUUUGUCAAAAGAAUUAUUUUUUAUGCCAAAGAAACCUAAGAAGUAUCCUAAUGUCAGCACCUUCAAAUGGAAAAUGUUUCAAGAAGGCUUCUCAUCAUCAACCUGCUUUCAUGUCCAUUUUCAUGUGAAUUGUUGAUGGGAAAAUAGAAUUUCAUCACUACCGUUGGUGAAGACAUUCCUAAGAACACAGAGUUAGUGCAUGCAGUUACCUGGGGGGGUUGGGAGGGGGUGGGGGAAGAGGGCUUGCAGAACUUUAUAGCAGCCCAGGCUCACUAAGAUUUGCUAUGUCCACUUAUACACCUUAUGAAGUCCUCUAUGCCAUGGCAAGUUCUCUUGGGAGUCACACCUUCAUUUCUUGGGUCCCCUUGGGUUUUUCAGACCACCACUUAUUAGUCACAUGAUCAUUAAAAAGUAAAUGCACCUCUCUGACAUCAAUUCUUAGUUUGAGAAAUAGAAUAAUAAUUCGGACCCAGCCUACCUCAAAGGCCCAUUAUCAAGGUCAAAAAUGAUGUAUGUGAUGAGCUUUUUAAAAGUAAAAUUUAUGAAGCAAACACGAAGUAGUGAAUUGUGGUGAUAUCAACAUUUUGAUACAAAACUCACUUGGUUUAGUAAUUUGAAGAGGAUGCCAUCUAUAUCUUUUUAUAACCGGGAGCUUUUGAUACCUUUUUCCUAAACUACAAAACUCAUAGAACCUUCGUUAGCUUCUCUGUGCCCCAGCCCUUCAAUAAAUUGACAUCACAAUAGAGGUUAAAAUAAGGCAAACUCACAGUGGCCUAGAGAUACGUGUUUGUGUGUGUCUGUGUGUGUGCAUUUAAGAAGAUGCACGUGUACCUUUGACCUAGCACCUACCUGUGUUCAUACAAUUAAAAAAGAAAUAAUGACUCAUUAAGCAAACAAGUUCUAGAAAAAAAUACUCAUUUAAUACAAUCACAGUGACUUCCUCACUGUUUCCACUUCAUUGCUCCUUAUGUGAGUAAAAACAACAUGCUAAAUGGAGACUUUCAGGACCCCGUGGGACCAAUUAAUGCCACGUGACUUCCUCCCUGCCUUCCAUGAAAAUAACUAUAUUAUAAUGGUCUGUGAUAUUAAUAUCAGCUUUGGAAAAGUCAGGCAGUGACUCCAUAGGGAAGGAAGUGGCCUGUGCAAGAACUGUGGAAUGUGCAGUAUUUGACAGACUGGAGGCCACAUCUUUUUAUAAGCUACAUCACAGAGUUAAACAAGGUGGGGGCACCAACUGGGCUAGUGGGUUAAUUCAGGUUAAAAGGCCACCAGGGUAGUCUAUCUCUGAUCUUGAACUCCAAGAAAAUGUGGUUACUGGGGGGAGUUUUGGAAAUUAAAGUUCUCAGAAAUAAAACCAUUUCCAAAGCAUUAUUUUCCUCUGAAUUUCUCCAGAUUUCUGCCCACCACAGAGGCAGGAUGUAUUUUGACAACCUCUGUUUGUAUUGGAGGGUAGACCUGGGAUGAGGAGUGGUGGGUACACCUCCCAAGUGUGUUGGCAGCUUGAUGGGGUUUUCCAGUGACAGUGGAGCACAGCAGAACCAAAGGGAAUGUGAGCCACAACACUGGUAGCCAGUCCAGGCUUCCUUCAAAUGCAGUUAUAGGAAUCCCAGGCCCAUGCAACACCCAGGCCCCAUCCUAGUCCCACUCCCUGCUGGGUCCUGGAGAGAUUCAGUGUUCUCCCUGUGGCUAGGCAGAUUCUCCUCUCUAGCAUAUGGCAAUGAGCCCGUUAAUUUUCUUGGUUGUAAAUUGCUGUAGUGCAUUAACAACACUCAAGGGUGGUCCCAAAGCACAAUUGAGGAUAUUAAGUUCUCCUGGGAACAGAUGUUUAAUGGUACAUCUAAUUAUCCAGGAAAGAUUGCCUAAGACAAUGAUCUAGAUCCAAUUCCUGGACAGUGGCUAAUGGUUUGGCCAGACAGUCAGAGGCUUGGAAGGAAUAAUAUUGGAGAAUUGGUGAUGGGGAAGAUUAGGGAAGAAUGAACCCAAUGU